Astatotilapia calliptera (eastern happy) is the source of this 1272-nucleotide long non-coding RNA. NCBI's taxonomy places the organism in Eukaryota, Metazoa, Chordata, Actinopteri, Cichliformes, Cichlidae. The record is from Ensembl.
ACGGGCCAGCAAUGACGGAUAGGGUUGAUCCAGCCGGGGUUUGGAUUCUGAGCCACCAGACAUGAUUUUAUGAAGACCACCCUACAACUUUUGUACACGUAAAGCGGGAGACGGGCUUGUCUGACUGAUUCGGGACGUUUUCACCGAGAGGAUCCGUGUACGGAGAAGAGCACUCCCCCCGGGUUUGAUAUCAAGAGUUGCUGGUAAGACGCUCGGGAAUGAUCUUUAAUUAUUAUAUUUACAUCUUUGACGGUGUUAAAACGCCACUUAAUAAUAAAAAUGUAAAUAAUAAUCAAUAUCCUGACGGUGGGGGAAUUGACACAAGCUUUAAGUGCGCCACCAGAGGGAGUAGCAUGUUUCAACACUGCUCUGACUGGUUAAUGUGUAAAAGGACAGUUUAAAUUCCACCGUAAAAACAUCAGCAGUUUAACUGAAACAAGUUAAUGUUUGAGUUAAUGUCGCGUUCGGGCGCUACAUUUGGUCACGACUCGCUGGUAUUCCUUGAGGAGCUGUGUGGUGUUUACAUCAGUGCUGGCCCAUUAAAACCCGAGCCACGUGUAGGUAGCUGGGGACCAUGUGGCCAUUGUAAACACUGCUGCCUUGUGGGUCUUUAUGUGCUGUAACGGGCUCUUUCUGUUACUUUUACCACCCAAAUGCGGACUAAGUAGUCAGCUGGGUGUAUUUCAGUGAGGUUUUUUUUGUGUAUGUGUGUGUGUGGGGGGGCAGUUUCUGCCAUAGCUCGGAGCCAGCUGACACUGUAUCGUGCUUCUAUUGUGCUGUUAGGAGUAUAUUGUAUUAUGUAAUGACACCAGCGCUAUUUGCAUGGAACUCCUUCCCAGCGGUCGGCCACCCUGAUUAUUAGGUUCCGCCACGUAUCAACGUAAAUGUCAGUAUUGCUACAGGAAAGGUCAGACUCCCUCACGAUAAGCAGACAGUUUGGGAUCACCGGCGGGUCACGUCCCUCCCACGUCUUUUUGUGUGUACCAGUGAGUGUGGUACGGUGACAGCAGAAUACAGAAGGGGCUGACCAGUCAACUGCUCUCAGAGUCUUUGUUUCAGGGACCUAAACUCAAUUUAGAGGCUUCAGGACGGGAACGGAAAUAAUUAAUAAAGCAGUUUGUAUUACUGAACAUCGCUAAUGUUAUUAGGCUGCUGUCAGGGAUGUGAAAGUAAUAACUGAGGCUGCAGGAGCUUUUCUCCACGGACUUUCUUAUUCACAUAUGAAUUGUGAUUUAUUUAUUUAUUUCUGUUAAUGUAACCUGACAAAAAAGC